RNAcentral lists this ribosomal RNA (608 nucleotides) under uncultured bacterium. RNAcentral describes it as "bacterial SSU rRNA". It matches the Rfam family "Bacterial small subunit ribosomal RNA", at positions 69 to 701 of the family's 1533-position model. The record is from RNAcentral.
ACAUGUCUAGCUUGCUAGAUGAUGUCGAGUGGCGGACGGGUGAGUAAUACUUAGGAACAUGCCUUUGGGUGGGGGAUAACUAUUGGAAACGAUAGCUAAUACCGCAUGAUGUCUACGGACCAAAGGGGGCUUUUAGCUCCCGCCCAGAGAGUGGCCUAAGCGAGAUUAGCUUGUUGGUGAGGUAAAGGCUCACCAAGGCGACGAUCUCUAGCUGUUCUGAGAGGAAGAUCAGCCACACUGGAACUGAGACACGGUCCAGACUCCUACGGGAGGCAGCAGUGGGGAAUAUUGCGCAAUGGAGGAAACUCUGACGCAGCCAUGCCGCGUGAGUGAAGAAGGCCUUAGGGUUGUAAAGCUCUUUCAGACGUGAUGAUGAUGACAGUAGCGUCAAAAGAAGUUCCGGCUAACUUCGUGCCAGCAGCCGCGGUAAUACGAAGGGAACUAGCGUUGUUCGGAUUUACUGGGCGUAAAGAGCAUGUAGGCGGAUUGGACAGUUGAGGGUGAAAUCCCAGAGCUCAACUCUGGAACGGCCUUCAAUACUUCCAGUCUAGAGUCCGUAAGGGGGUGGUGGAAUUCCGAGUGUAGAGGUGAAAUUCGUAGAUAUUCGG